AACGAACGCUGGCGGCAGGCUUAACACAUGCAAGUCGAACGGAUCGUUCGGGAUUAGUGGCAGACGGGUGAGUAACGCGUGGGAACGUACCCUUUGCUACGGAAUAACUCAGGGAAACUUGAGCCAAUACCGUAUGGGCGCUACUGGGGAAAGAUUUAUCGGCAAAGGAUCGGCCCGCGUUGGAUUAGCUAGUUGGUGGGGUAAUGGCCUACCAAGGCGACGAUCCAUAGCUGGUUUGAGAGGCUGAUCAGCCACACUGGGACUGAGACACGGCCCAGACUCCUACGGGAGGCAGCAGUGGGGAAUAUUGGACAAUGGGCGCAAGCAUGAUCCAGCCCUGCCGCGUGAGCGAUGAAGGUCUUAGGAUUGUAAAGCUCUUUCACCGGUGAAGAUAAUGACGGUAGCCGGAGAAGAAGCCACGGCUAACUUCGUG
Molecule: ribosomal RNA, 433 nt
Filed under: uncultured bacterium
Lineage: Bacteria
Description: partial 16S ribosomal RNA
Rfam family: Bacterial small subunit ribosomal RNA
Source: RNAcentral